This 409-nucleotide ribosomal RNA is filed under the name Bacillota bacterium. RNAcentral's name for it is "Firmicutes bacterium partial 16S ribosomal RNA". It matches the Rfam family "Bacterial small subunit ribosomal RNA", at positions 355 to 776 of the family's 1533-position model. The record is from RNAcentral. Lineage: Bacteria; Bacillati; Bacillota.
UGGGGAAUAUUGCACAAUGGGCGAAAGCCUGAUGCAGCGACGCCGCGUGAGGGAUGACGGCCUUCGGGUUGUAAACCUCUUUCAGCAGGGACGAAGCGCAAGUGACGGUACCUGCAGAAGAAGCACCGGCUAACUACGUGCCAGCAGCCGCGGUAAUACGUAGGGUGCAAGCGUUGUCCGGAAUUACUGGGCGUAAAGAGUUCGUAGGCGGUUUGUCGCGUCGUUUGUGAAAACCAGCAGCUCAACUGCUGGCUUGCAGGCGAUACGGGCAGACUUGAGUACUGGAGGGGAGACUGGAAUUCCGGGUGUAGCGGUGAAAUGCGCAGAUAUCAGGAGGAACACCGGUGGCGAAGGCGGGUCUCUGGGCAGUAACUGACGCUGAGGAACGAAAGCGUGGGUAGCAAACAGG